RNAcentral lists this unclassified non-coding RNA (1243 nucleotides) under Hevea brasiliensis (rubber tree). Lineage: Eukaryota; Viridiplantae; Streptophyta; Magnoliopsida; Malpighiales; Euphorbiaceae. The record is from RNAcentral.
AAUGGGAGUGCCAAGAACUUGGUUAAGCCAGGAGGGCUUGCUCCUUUUGGUGUCAAUGGUGUUGUUUAUGGAGCAGCUAAAGUUUACUUCAGUUAUAUCGGCUACGAUUCCGUUUCAACGAUGGCAGAAGAGAUCCAAAACCCUUCAAGAAGCCUUCCUGUGGGCAUUGUGGGUUCUGUUCUCAUAGUCUGUGUGCUAUAUUGCCUCAUGGCCUUGUCUUUGUGCUUGGUGGUGCCUUACAAUAUGAUACCCAAAGAUGCAUCCUUUUCCAUUAUUUUCCAAAAGAUUGGGUGGAACUGGGCAAGCAAUGUGGUUGGGGCUGGAGCAAGUUUGGGAAUAGUAGCUUCUCUCCUGGUUGCCAUGCUAGGCCAAGCAAGGUACCUUUGUGUCUUUGGAAGGGCUCGGCUUGUGCCUUCUUGGUUGGCCAAGGUGCAUCCUUCCACAGGCACCCCAUUGAAUGCUACACUCUUCUUGGGGCUUUGCACAGCUUCAAUUGCACUCUUCACUGACCUCAGCAUAGUUCUUGAAAUGAUCUCCAUCAGCACAUUACUGGUGUUCUACCUAGUAGCCAAUGCUCUCAUCUACCGACGAUAUGUGAUCGUUAACCAAAACCCACCUUCACAUACCCUCCUGUACCUCUUCCUCCUCUCAUGCAGUGCAAUUAGCUUCUCCAUUUCAUGGAAACUUAAAGAACAAAGAUGGGGUUUAUCUCUAUUUGGUGUGGUUAUGAUUGCCAUUACAGCUUUCUUUCAAAACAAGAUAUCUUCCAUUAGCCAACCAAAUGAAAAAUGGUCAGUGCCAUUCAUGCCAUGGCCAGCUGCAAUAUCAAUAUUCCUUAAUGUGUUUCUCAUGACCACAUUAAAGCUGCUGUCUUUCCAGAGGUUUGCUCUAUGGGCAUGUUUGAUAACUACGUUUUAUGUGUUAUACGGUGUACACUCAACUUAUGAAGCUGAAGAGAUAGAAGUGGGUGCUGAUGAAAUACAACACCCACCAGUUCAGCAACAAAGUAAGCUAGAAAUUCAAGUGCUAUAACAACCAAAAAGAAUUACUCUAUCCCUUUUUUUUCCUUCUGUAAUUAUCUCUUACUGCCUUUUUUAAGCACUUUGUUUUCAGUUCUUGGGAUAUUGUCGCAAUGUGGAUAUUAUAUAUGGAAACUCUCUUGAGCAAAUAUAUAUAUUAGCACAGCUAAAUGGAAACAAAAUAAAGUGAAAUAAAAACAAGGAAAAAAUGCAUUUGAGAGAGA